GUAUAAUAAAGGAACUAAAUAGUAAUUUUUUAAAAUUAUAAAGUGAAAUAUGAAAAAUGCAUUUGUACACCAAUAAUUUAUGGGGCAAGAACUGUUUAUGUUGGUUUGCAAAACUGUGAUUGAAGGUGAGGGAGGGCAGCGAUUUGCAUGUGGAUGGUCCGGAUAUGGUUCCAGGGUCUCCUUGUUGGCUGGUGUUGGAAGUGAUGGGGUUUGUCUCAGUUGAGCAACUUCCCAUAGCCAUGCCUCUCCUAGCUUGUUUAGACAUGGCUCUUAGUACCCGUGCAACUUUCGUUUUGCUACUUCUCUCACCCUUUAUUGUUAGGGCUGAAGGUUGGUUGGAAGCUCUUUGGUUAUGAUGAGGAGAUUUUUGAAUAAUUUUUAUCAGGUGUAUCUCAACUUGUGUUUGUUACACUUGUGUUCCUUAUAUUCAUU
This 432-nucleotide unclassified non-coding RNA is filed under the name Hevea brasiliensis (rubber tree). Lineage: Eukaryota; Viridiplantae; Streptophyta; Magnoliopsida; Malpighiales; Euphorbiaceae. The record is from RNAcentral.